GCAGCACCGGGGCUCGGGCUGCUGCUGGAUGGUCCUGGAACGGAGCCGCCAGGGGCUGCUAGCCCAGGGGGUGCGGCACAAGCACCCUGCCCAGCGGGCUGCCCUGCUCCCCGCAGAGAGUUUCUCUUCCUCCACAAUUCCCCCUGCCCAGGCAGCGGAUCAGAGCACCGUAUCCUGCUGCGAUGGGCCUCCUGGGGACUGGUGCAGCAGCUAGCAGUAAUUCGGGUUUAGAAACUGCUGGGUUGAGGGCAACCCCUUGGUGUUUCCCUUCCCGUUAUGGGAUCAGUGAUGCAGAUACGUGUUUGCCUUUAGCAGGACUCCCAAAGGCUGAGUGAGGCAGCUGGUUAUUGCAGCUGCUUUUAUGUAGUGCUGCUGCUGCUGAGUUCAACUUGCAGCCCAGGUGCCUCGCAGCACAAAGGGCUGGCACCAAAACCCAAGGCAGGUAACGGGUUCAGGGGGUGGCAGCAGGCCCUGGCUUGUGGGGCCUGCAUGGCCUGUGGGGGUUUCAAAAAGUUACUUAUUAAAAGCAAACAGCCAAACAGACCUACAGCAAAAGACAACACAAACCACUGGUAAAGACGAGGGAAGAGAAACAGCACAGGAGGGUUCCAGCUUCACUCGGGAAGCUUUUCAGGAGACUCAGCCCGGCAGCAGUGGCACUUCUGAAACGCCAGAGCCCCGCACGUUGCCCCCGUCCGGUUCUCCAGGUGUGGGAUAAGGAGCAGGGACCGCAGCCCAGCCUCGGCUUCUCAGAGAGGUUCCCAAUGACCACAAAUUAUGUGUGGGCUCCGCUGGUUGGAAGGAGUGAGGCACAGGAGCAGCCGCAGUGUGUGAACCGCUGCAGAAGUCUUGGUCAUGGAAGAAGUCAGCCCGCACAUCGCAUCCCACCGCACACCUCCAGCCCAGCCUACCUGCCAUCCUCUUGUGCAGUCCAGCAGCGCUGUGUGCUUCCAGCUGACACAAAGUUUGGGCCCGAGAAUGCGUUUUACAGGAAUCUGUGACAGGAGCAUCUUCCGCACCUGCCCGCUUAAUUAUGAAACGAAACAAGUGAGCUGUUUCCAGGACACAGGUAUGGUGAUUAACGGUCUGUGUGAUCAGAUUUACAACAGCCAUAUAUGACAAGAGUGUCAUGGGGAGGAUUUUUCACUGCUAAUGGCAGUGGCUUUUAUUUCAAGCCCAUUUUUUUUACAUUAAAAUUUUUAUUACAAAAACUGUAACAGUAAGGCAGUUUGUCAAUUGUCAGUCACUGUGAGCCAAACAGUUUUCGAUCACCUUUAAUACAAAACUAGAUUCACACAGGAGCCACGCUCUUGAUCCAAAAGCCCUUUGAGAAAUGAGGGGAUAAGGCAGAGAGGAACACCACCACCUGUGUCAUCACACGUUGGGUAUGAGGUGUAUGGACACUAUUGCGGUGGAGGAAGAUGACACACGGAUUGUCUGCAGGUUAAAAAAAUAAGCUUGUCCUUUCUCCUCUGAGAAUCUGGAACAUUUCAGUCUGAUGUGCCUCAGCAGAACUGAAGUUGAGUUCUGGGGGAUUUUCCUUUUAAAACAAGUGAAAUUUUCCACUGCCAAAAGACAAACUGUUUUUCUUCCCUGAAGAACUGCAAGUCAUUGAGUAGUUCACAGAUUUAAGACGUCAUGCUCUAAAACUUUUUUACUCCCCAGGCGAUGCCUCUUAGGAGACCAUUCUUAAAACGCUCGUCAACGCUGGAGAUACCUGAUGGUAGGUGAGGAAGGGAACUGUUAGCAAACUGCCCUAGACAUUCCACAAGUUCUUUCGGGCUUGUUGUUCAUCUUUUGGUAUUGCUUGAACAGAGAGGGGAAAAAAACUUUGCUUGCUAUAAUGAAAUUAGGGUUUCUCAUCACUUCAACCCUGCCUUCUUCCAUCCAACAUGUAAGAGCCCCACGUGUUUUCUUCCGAUGUGGCAGUACCUGAAGUAGUCACUGGCAGCUUUUAUUCGGUAAUUCUCUUUUACCUCACAUCAAUUGUAGAAUUGUUAGUUGUUAAUUAUUUUUGUGUGUCAAGCAAUGUGGCUCACUUGAAAGAAAAGCAUCUGUCUGUAAGAGCAAAGCCAGAUGCUGUUUUCCAAACAGUGCUGGUGGUGGUAAUACCCGGAUUUCUUUUUGUGCUCGCUAGCUAGCCAGGGCUGGCUCAUCCAGAAGCACUUAGAGAUGCCUCAGAGCCAGCGAGAGGAACUGAAUGCCCCCAACUAAGGCUCCUGACUCCAUGUUGUCCAUUGCUCUCUUUUACAUGCAGGGAAGUGGCAGGACUCACUGCAGCCAUGGCGACCUUUUUUGGAGCUUAAGAAAGCCAACAAGAUGAGAAAGAGAAAACCAUGGACAAGAACGGAGACGACUGUACUGACACCAUGUAAAAAAUGAGAAAACGUGAGUAAGUGUGUUCUGUG
Anas platyrhynchos (mallard) is the source of this 2408-nucleotide non-coding RNA. Lineage: Eukaryota; Metazoa; Chordata; Aves; Anseriformes; Anatidae. The record is from RefSeq and is a predicted model, not a curated record.